This 253-nucleotide ribosomal RNA is filed under the name uncultured bacterium. RNAcentral's name for it is "partial 16S ribosomal RNA". It matches the Rfam family "Bacterial small subunit ribosomal RNA", at positions 524 to 776 of the family's 1533-position model. The record is from RNAcentral.
UACGGAGGGUGCGAGCGUUGUUCGGAAUCACUGGGCGUAAAGCGCGUGUAGGCGGCCCACUAAGUCUGAUGUGAAAGCCCGGGGCUCACCCCCGGAAGUGCAUUGGAAACUGGUGGACUCGAGUCCCGGAGAGGGGAGUGGAAUUCCUGGUGUAGCGGUGAAAUGCGUAGAUAUCAGGAGGAACACCGGUGGCGAAGGCGGCUCUCUGGACGGUGACUGACGCUGAGACGCGAAAGCGUGGGGAGCAAACAGG